UUAAAUAAUAUAAAUUAUAAAAAUAAAAUCUUAAUUGAAAGAUAAAAAAUAAACAAACCUCCUAUCAAAAUAACCCUUAAAUCCCAACCCUAAAUCUCUCUCAACUCUCAAGUCUACUGCCGCCCUCCCCUCUCCCAUUUGGCCUCUCCGUCACUCGUCUGGUAUAGCCGUGCGCCUCCCGCCGAUCGCUCCUCUGCUCCACGCUGUCAACGUCGUUCUACGUUCGGUUCCUGCGUCCGCUGGUCUGCUUGCUUCUUUGCUCUUCUCCGCCGCUUCCUCUGCUCCAGUCUUACCGUCGGGUGCUGCUCCUCGCCGCGCCCUCAGUCACUGCACGAUAAUCUUUUGAAGGAAGAGGUAUUUUAUUUUAUCAUAUAAUUAAGCUAGUAAUUACUUAGUGAAUCUCCACCAUCUUCGGCUUGUCCUAAGCUUAAAGGAUGGCAGAAGAAGAGGGAUGAUUCGACAGCACUUGAGCNNN
This 475-nucleotide long non-coding RNA is filed under the name Manihot esculenta (cassava). RNAcentral's name for it is "long non-coding RNA (MESC_LNC005380)". The record is from RNAcentral. Lineage: Eukaryota; Viridiplantae; Streptophyta; Magnoliopsida; Malpighiales; Euphorbiaceae.